RNAcentral lists this long non-coding RNA (330 nucleotides) under Salvator merianae (Argentine black and white tegu). RNAcentral describes it as "lncRNA (ENSSMRG00000006201.1)". The record is from RNAcentral. Lineage: Eukaryota; Metazoa; Chordata; Lepidosauria; Squamata; Teiidae.
UGAUUUUUCAAAAUGUAACCAUCAGGGGAUAUGCAAUAACAACAAGAAUUGCCACUGUAUAUAUGGAUGGGCUCCUCCCAACUGCAGUGGCAAAGGCUUCGGGGGAAGUAUCGACAGUGGGCCCCCUCCCACGCAGAUCAAAUCUAAAAAGUUUUUAAUGCUCGGACCUAUGAUCGGGAUAGGUUUGCUUUUGCUGGCUCUAACUAUAAUGUUCAAGAAAUAUAUUCAGAUUUGGUUUGGACGAGUAAUCAGAGAAAAAAUAUCUCCAAAGCCAAUGGAUUUUGCUUCAGAAAGUACUGUAAGUAUCUGAAAUUCUCAUCUGGAAAACUG